CACGUAGGGCGCAAGCGUUGUCCGGAAUUAUUGGGCGUAAAGAGCUCGUAGGCGGUUUGUCGCGUCUGUCGUGAAAGCUUGGGGCUUAACCCUAAGUCUGCGGUGGAUACGGGCAGGCUAGAGGCAGGUAGGGGAGAACGGAAUUCCCGGUGUAGCGGUGAAAUGCGCAGAUAUCGGGAGGAACACCGGUGGCGAAGGCGGUUCUCUGGGCCUGUACUGACGCUGAGGAGCGAAAGCGUGGGGAGCGAACAGG
RNAcentral lists this ribosomal RNA (253 nucleotides) under uncultured bacterium. RNAcentral describes it as "partial 16S ribosomal RNA". It matches the Rfam family "Bacterial small subunit ribosomal RNA", at positions 524 to 776 of the family's 1533-position model. The record is from RNAcentral.